GACGAACGCUGGCGGCGUGCUUAACACAUGCAAGUCGAACGGAAAGGCCCUGCUUUUGUGGGGUGCUCGAGUGGCGAACGGGUGAGUAACACGUGAGUAACCUGCCCUUGACUUUGGGAUAACUUCAGGAAACUGGGGCUAAUACCGGAUAGGAGCUCCUGCUGCAUGGUGGGGGUUGGAAAGUUUCGGCGGUUGGGGAUGGACUCGCGGCUUAUCGGCUUGUUGGUGGGGUAGUGGCUUACCAAGGCUUUGACGGGUAGCCGGCCUGAGAGGGUGACCGGCCACAUUGGGACUGAGAUACGGCCCAGACUCCUACGGGAGGCAGCAGUGGGGAAUAUUGCACAAUGGGCGGAAGCCUGAUGCAGCAACGCCGCGUGCGGGAUGACGGCCUUCGGGUUGUAAACCGCUUUCGCCUGUGACGAAGCGUGAGUGACGGUAAUGGGUAAAGAAGCACCGGCUAACUGCGUG
This 468-nucleotide ribosomal RNA is filed under the name uncultured bacterium. RNAcentral describes it as "partial 16S ribosomal RNA". It matches the Rfam family "Bacterial small subunit ribosomal RNA", at positions 28 to 507 of the family's 1533-position model. The record is from RNAcentral.